AUUGAACGCUGGCGGCAGGCCUAACACAUGCAAGUCGAACGGUAACAGGAAGAAGCUUGCUUCUUUGCUGACGAGUGGCGGACGGGUGAGUAAUGUCUGGGAAACUGCCUGAUGGAGGGGGAUAACUACUGGAAACGGUAGCUAAUACCGCAUAACGUCGCAAGACCAAAGAGGGGGACCUUCGGGCCUCUUGCCAUCGGAUGUGCCCAGAUGGGAUUAGCUAGUAGGUGGGGUAACGGCUCACCUAGGCGACGAUCCCUAGCUGGUCUGAGAGGAUGACCAGCCAAACUGGAACUGAGACACGGUCAAGACUCCUACGGGAGGCAGCAGUGGGGAAUAUUGCACAAUGGGCGCAAGCCUGAUGCAGCCAUGCCGCGUGUAUGAAGAAGGCCUUCGGGUUGUAAAGUACUUUCAGCGGGGAGGAAGGGAGUAAAGUUAAUACCUUUACUCAUUGACGUUACCCGCAGAAGAAGCACCGGCUAACUCCGUG
RNAcentral lists this ribosomal RNA (490 nucleotides) under uncultured bacterium. RNAcentral describes it as "partial 16S ribosomal RNA". It matches the Rfam family "Bacterial small subunit ribosomal RNA", at positions 30 to 507 of the family's 1533-position model. The record is from RNAcentral.